RNAcentral lists this ribosomal RNA (240 nucleotides) under uncultured Lactobacillus sp. RNAcentral's name for it is "partial 16S ribosomal RNA". It matches the Rfam family "Bacterial small subunit ribosomal RNA", at positions 122 to 354 of the family's 1533-position model. The record is from RNAcentral. Lineage: Bacteria; Bacillati; Bacillota; Bacilli; Lactobacillales; Lactobacillaceae.
UAACCUGCCCAAGAGAUCGGGAUAACACCUGGAAACAGAUGCUAAUACCGGAUAACAACAGAUGAUGCCUAUCAACUGUUUAAAAGAUGGUUCUGCUAUCACUCUUGGAUGGACCUGCGGUGCAUUAGCUAGUUGGUAGGGUAACGGCCUACCAAGGCGAUGAUGCAUAGCCGAGUUGAGAGACUGAUUGGCCACAUUGGGACUGAGACACGGCCCAAACUCCUACGGGAGGCAGCAGGC